ACGGGGCCCGCACAAGCGGUGGAGCAUGUGGUUAAUUCGAAGCAACGCGAAGAACCUUACCAGGUCUUGACAUCCCGAUGCUAUUUCUAGAGAUAGAAAGUUACUUCGGUACAUCGGUGACAGGUGGUGCAUGGUUGUCGUCAGCUCGUGUCGUGAGAUGUUGGGUUAAGUCCCGCAACGAGCGCAACCCCUAUUGUUAGUUGCCAUCAUUCAGUUGGGCACUCUAGCGAGACUGCCGGUAAUAAACCGGAGGAAGGUGGGGAUGACGUCAAAUCAUCAUGCCCCUUAUGACCUGGGCUACACACGUGCUACAAUGGUUGGUACAACGAGUUGCGAGUCGGUGACGGCGAGCUAAUCUCUUAAAGCCAAUCUCAGUUCGGAUUGUAGGUUGCAACUCGCCUACACGAAGUCGGAAUCGCUAGUAAUCGCGGAUCAGCACGCCGCGGUGAAUACGUUCCCGGGCCUU
RNAcentral lists this ribosomal RNA (466 nucleotides) under uncultured Streptococcus sp. RNAcentral's name for it is "bacterial SSU rRNA". It matches the Rfam family "Bacterial small subunit ribosomal RNA", at positions 916 to 1381 of the family's 1533-position model. The record is from RNAcentral. Lineage: Bacteria; Bacillati; Bacillota; Bacilli; Lactobacillales; Streptococcaceae.